UGGCAAGGAUGAAAAAAAGGCCGGACUUACGGCUGCUACCAUGUGGUUUGGUAGUAGAGUGAUGAAAGUUACAGCUAGGUAUAUUUGCUGAGCCAG
This is a non-coding RNA of Capsicum annuum, 96 nucleotides long. The record is from Rfam. NCBI's taxonomy places the organism in Eukaryota, Viridiplantae, Streptophyta, Magnoliopsida, Solanales, Solanaceae.